This 497-nucleotide ribosomal RNA is filed under the name uncultured bacterium. Its description in RNAcentral is "partial 16S ribosomal RNA". It matches the Rfam family "Bacterial small subunit ribosomal RNA", at positions 28 to 507 of the family's 1533-position model. The record is from RNAcentral.
GAUGAACGCUGGCGGCGUGCCUAAUACAUGCAAGUCGAGCGAACAGAUGAGGAGCUUGCUCCUCUGACGUUAGCGGCGGACGGGUGAGUAACACGUGGAUAACCUACCUAUAAGACUGGGAUAACUUCGGGAAACCGGAGCUAAUACCGGAUAAUAUAUUGAACCGCAUGGUUCAAUAGUGAAAGACGGUUUUGCUGUCACUUAUAGAUGGAUCCGCGCCGCAUUAGCUAGUUGGUAAGGUAACGGCUUACCAAGGCAACGAUGCGUAGCCGACCUGAGAGGGUGAUCGGCCAGACUGGAACUGAGACACGGUGGAGACUCCUAGGGGAGGCAGCAGUGGGGAAUCUUCCAAAAUGGGCGAAAGCCUGACGGAGCAAAGCAGCGUAAAUGAAAAAGGUCUUCGACUCGUAAAACUCUGUCAUUAGGGAAGAACAAAUGUGUAAGUAACUAUGCACGACUUGACGGGACAUAAUCAGAAAGGCACGGCUAACGACGUG